RNAcentral lists this long non-coding RNA (918 nucleotides) under Trifolium pratense (red clover). RNAcentral describes it as "long non-coding RNA (TPRA_LNC002098)". Lineage: Eukaryota; Viridiplantae; Streptophyta; Magnoliopsida; Fabales; Fabaceae. The record is from RNAcentral.
AGUGAAUACAUAACGUUUAAAAAGACCAAGUUCAAAAAAAGGUAUCUCGAGAAGAAACAAAUACAAAUAUGAUAUUUCAAAGGUCAUACCUCUGAUAGUGCAAAAUAAAUUUUCAGGAGCCAUAGUUGGUCAAAACAUUAUUCACAGUAAUAAUUUAUAAUACAAUUUAAAUAGGAGAAUGCAAAAAACAAAGGUUUGGCAAUCAAUGGUAAAAAGGAUGUACGCAAACUUCUGAAUGCUCUCACCAAGAAAAUUAAUAGAUACAGAAAACUUAAAUGAGAAUAGAGUACCUAAAACAAAAUUGAAUUCACAGGAGUGAAGCUAAAUUUCAAUCUAUCCCAACACAAUAGAAAGUACACAACUGUCAGUGAGUGUGUGUAUGCAGUGUCAAUAUGAUGAAAAACUAAGAUGCUGAGCAUAUUGUAGUUGCACUAUCAUAAUCAAGAAAGAAAGCCAAGAAAAGCAAAAGAUAAAAUAUCAAACAUAAACUGAGUAUGGACAACCAAGGUACACACUGGCAUGCUUUAAUCAAGUAACAUCCAACCAAAUACACUUGGUAUACAUAAGGGUAAGUGGAUGUGGGGUUACUUCAAAUCAUCAUGAGGUGCAACCGUGCAAGUCCAGACAUUUAAGAUUUUCAACACAUAUCAAAUCAAGUAAAUAAUAAACCCCACCCAAAACCAACUGUGGACCUUGACGUUCAAUAAAAAUUCAUGCAACAUCACCCCAAUUUCGAUGCAUAUCAAGUAUAUAAUAAACCACCCAAAACAAACUAUGGACCUUGAAGUUCAAUAACCCCAUGGAACAUCAUCCCAAUGCAUCACAACACAUUUCUAUUAUAAAUAACAUGAAUUGAUAUAAACACAGAUACAGCAGCAAGUAAAUGAAGCACAAACAAAAUACCGGCAACUCACCUAG